Molecule: ribosomal RNA, 509 nt
Filed under: Notozulia entreriana
Lineage: Eukaryota; Metazoa; Arthropoda; Insecta; Hemiptera; Cercopidae
Description: partial 16S ribosomal RNA
Rfam family: Bacterial large subunit ribosomal RNA (bases 382-509)
Source: RNAcentral
GGUUUUUAGUUUUAUAUUAAAGAUCUAAUCUGCCCAAUGAGUUUAUUUGAAUGGCCGCAGUAAUUUGACUGUGCAAAGGUAGCAUAAUAAUUAGGCUUUUAAUUGAAGUCUGGUAUGAAUGAUUGGAUGAGAAAAUGACUUUCUUUAAUUUUUUAUUUGAAUUUAAUUUUUAAGUGAAAAAGCUUAAAUGUUUCUAUGGGACGAUAAGACCCUAUAGAGCUUUAUUAGUUAUUUUUUAUUAUUUUUAUUUUUUAAUUUUAUUAUUUUAUUAAUUAUUUUGUUGGGGUGAUAGUUAAAUUUUUAAAACUUUAAUUUUUUUUUUCAUUAAUUUAUGUUUUUUUUGAUCUUUUAUUAUUGAUUUUAAGAUUAAGCUACCUUAGGGAUAACAGCGUAAUUUAAUUGGAGAGUUCUUAUUGAUAAUUAAGUUUGCGACCUCGAUGUUGGAUUAAGAUUAGUUUAAGGUGCAGUAUUUUUAAUUUCUAGGUCUGUUCGACCUUUAAAUUCUUACA